AGAUACCUAGAGAGGUCUAAAAAUAUAUUUUAAUUAUCUGAAAAAUAAUUAACAUAUCUAAGAAGAUUUGAUGUGAAGGAUCCAUAGAGUUAGGAUUACGACAAAUAUACUGAGGAGUCAUCCUCUCUAGAGACCGUAUCUCACUGCAACUUCUCAAAUAAACCCAAUAGUUGCCAUGACCCACAACCUCUCACAUGGGUUCAUGAUUGGACUAUCAAAUUCAGCCAACAAAGUGAUUAUGGCUUCCAAGCGUGGCUUUCCUUGGGCCUAUUGUUUCCAAAGAUGGGAUAACAGUUGAUCCUUGCAAGAUUGAGGUUGUGCUUAAAUGGGAGAGACCAAUGAAUGUAUCUGAAGUUUGCAGAUUCCUAGGACUGGCGGGGCAUUACAAGUGUUUCGUAGAGGAAUUCUUGAAGAUAACACUUCCCCUAACCCGCCUAACCCAAAAGGAAAUCAAGUUUACGUGGUUUGAUAAACUGCAAGAGAAGUUUUCAAGAUAUCCCGCUAGGCUUGCAGGGCCUCACCUUGUUUCGCAGCUGCUCAAGUGAUUUUGAAACUUUUGGUUCAUGAAUUAAUGUAACAAAUUUUAUAGUGAUGAUGGAGGAUUGGGGUAAGUACUAGUCUCCUUGCGCUACCUGUGAAAUGAAGAUGAGCUGCAGUUAAUAUUUAGUGUUUAAACUGAAUGGAUACCUUGUAUGCUUCAAUAUUCUAAUGCACUAACCCUGGUAUUGCUGGACCAAACCAUGUGAAGUUAUGAACAUUUGUUGCCAUGGGAUGUGUAGGGUUAUAUGCAUGCUCAUGAGUGUGGCUUGCUGCUGGACGUCAAUAUGUAUUAGAAGGCUUAUCAUCUUAGACAAGGGAGUCUAAAGUGAAAAUAGUCAAGUCUUUUGGAAGAAGAUGAAACAUAAAACUAGGAGAUGCAUGAAGCUUUUCUCAGUAAUGCAUAUUUACCUUAGGAUAUAUUCUCUUUUAAUAAUUCUUUUCUGGCAUGCAAUAAGAAAUGGAGCAUCAACAUGUGAACUUGUGCAAAUAUAGGGCUCACUGUUAUUAAGAGGACAUAUUAUUUUCUGAGAUGGGAGAUGGAACCUUUAUUCUUCCUUGUUUUUUAUCUAAAUCAAAUGCAAUCGUCAUUCAGAAUUUGGUUGGUUUGGAAACAUAAGGGUGGUAUCUAUCAAUUUCAGGGUAGUAUUUGUUAAGUUUCUAGUCUGGCAACAUAUCUGUGAACUUUCAGGAAUUGUACCUUUUAUAAUUGACAAGCCUCUGCCAUUUAGUGGUUUUUUAUUUUUAUUUUUUAUUUUUUGUUAAUUAAGAUAGUUGACUAUACGGAAUGUUUCUUCAUGGAGAAAAAAGGACUACGAACGAUUGUUUCAUAUAGCUGUGACUUAUUCCUAGAUGCAUCCGAUUCUGAGUUGGCCAACUCAUCUGCCACUGUAUUUACCUUCUGAAAAAUGUAUUUAACAAGUUAUGGAGAACUGGUCUUGGUUCUAUUAGUUCUUUUUAGUUCUUUUAAAACUAUUGAUGGCUUUCCAAAUUUUCUAGAUGAUAGUGGCAGUAUCGAACUUUAUAAAACGGAUGGCUCAUUUGCAGUUACUCCAAUCUAACCGCUGUUUUCCUGGUUUUUAAAUACUUAAAAAAUGUUCUUGCCUUUUUUUUUUGUUUUAAUAGACACAUCAUUAAAAGGGAUGGGUAACUGUGGUUACCUAUAAUCCCUUUGCCGGAGCCCUACGUGCCCACAUUUUAGUCAAUUUAUUAUUGUUUUUCCUUUCCAGGAUGGUUGUAAAUAUUCAAUAAAUAUAUAUUGAACAAUGAGUCUGUACUUCUACAAAAUAAACCAAUGUAUUCCAUAUGAUCUAGAGAUUGCCCUCUAAGCCAACAAAUCACAUUUAGUUAAUCACUUUAGAUAAUAUCAAUCAUCAAAUUUCUAUUUAGGCUUCUCAAUCCAUACAAGGCUAUAUUAUUUCUGCCAAAGAGCCCUCAAUACCAAAAGUAUUGCCUGGAUCUUUUAAUUCUCUCCGUGUUUGUUUCAUGUGAUAUCCCAAAAACAUGCAAGUCUACUGCUUCUCUUUGCAGCUCCAACAAAAAUUCAGCUUGAUCAUUUCAUUAUUUUCUCCGUGGUUGGUGGUGAAUCCAAUCUCUCUUGAGGCUUGGGUCUUAAACGUUGAAGAUCUGCGAUUGUUUUUGGGUCAAGGGUUUAAGUAGUUCUUCAUGAGCUUUGGUCCUUUGGUUUUUCAUUAAUUUUUUUUGGGUCAAGGGUUUGACUAGUUCUUCACGAGGUCUUGAUCCAGCUUGGAUUUUUUUUCACCAUUUCGAUUCUUUGAAAGACUCCAUAUUGUCACUAAGAAAGUGCAGCACAACGUUUUUUGCCCUCGCUUGCUCUAUCACAUUCAUCUCCAUCCAUGUGACGUAAUGGAAAUGCAUGUACAAGUUGUAAUUCAAAAAAAAGAAAAAAAAAAAACUAGACUGGCAUUUUUUUAUCAUAUUGUGCAGUUGUACAUGCUAACAACAGCAUGAGACACCCACCUCUUCUUCCUCUACGAUAUUACAUUUGUUUACCAAGACUAAACCCCUAUGUUGGACAUGAUCCAUAGUUAUUUGGACUUAGCUGGUCACCAGCCCAAGCCCUGAUGGAGCAGUGGUACUUUGGCACACCCCUCUUGAAAGGUGGACAAUGUGACCGGGCAAGUCACUACCUAUUAAAAUUUUUCUAUUUUUUCUUUUUGUAUUGCCACUGGAAUCACUCACAAGUCUCUGAAUACAAUAUGAACCAAAUAAAAUUGCCAAGUACUCUCACUUGCUUGCCAUUAAUAUUAAAAUACAUUCGAAAUACAGAUUUGGAAAUAAAAAUGCAAUAGAAUUGAAAGAACAUAAACUAAGAGAAUACCUUAUACCUUACUUCAGGUUACCCCCAAGGAUUUAGUACACCUCACACCGGGUCUCCUCCACCAAUGACAUACGGGAUCUAAGUCCAAGAACUUGUCUCACAAAUUUGGGAAGCCUAGGAAAAAACCAAUAGAGAGCAUAACAUAAUAUAUGCUUGACCACGGCUCAACACCUGGACAUAAGGCCAAGACCUAAUGCUAUAGGCUAUGUGGCUUGGCCGUGCCACCCCUUGGCUUAGUUUUCCUUCCUAAACCCUAAAGUUUGGAGAGAGAAGAAGCGAGAGAUAUUUAGAGAGUGGCAUGUCACUCCUUCAAGCACAAAGAGAGAGAGAGAGAGACAAGUGUAGAGAAUGAGCCCCACCCAUAACUAGUUUAUAUAGAAUAAAGGCUAGGGUUUUGUCAUCUUUGUGAGACUUAAUCUUGACCUUUGAUCUUGGAUAUAUGUGAGGUGAAGAGAUCUCAUCCAUUCAUCUCUUAGAUUAGCCAUUAUGAUUAAAAGGAUGCGGUAGAACCAUUAUCCCUCAGUUUCCAUAACUCCAUUCACAUCAAAUAUUGUGUAGAGAAAGUAAUAAAGAAAUCACAAUUAAUUUUUUUAUAUCUUCUUAUUUUGAAAUCAAUCACAAUUAAUUUCUUACUCCUCCCUAUUUUGAAAUCAAUCAAAAUCUCUGCACAAAAGGUUUCCUAAAAUAUCAAGUCAAAAUAUGGCAUAAUUGCAAUCUUUCAGUUUAGGAAAGUUUGGAACAGGUGGGGCGUACCACCAAUGGGGUGUCCGUCCAUGUGGGCCCUACGUCCCAUACUAUGGUGGGCCCAAUGUACCCCAAUAGGCCUCCAAAUACUUUAAAUAUAAUUUUAAAUAAUAAAAUAAUUUUAUAAAAUCUCAUAAUAUUUUAUUUUUCUCUCUGAUUAAAAUAUAUCCAGAAAAUUGAUUUUUCUUAGUUAAAAAUCAUUUCUCAAUAAAAUAAAAUACCUAGAAAGGUAUAAAAAUUUAUUUUGAUUAUCUAAAAAAUAAGUAACAUAUUUAAAUAUAUCUAUGAAGAUUUGAUGUGAAGGAUCCAUAGAGUUAGGAUUAGGACAAAUAUACUAAGGACUCAUCCUCUCUAGAGACCGUAUCUCACUGCAUCUUCUCAAACUAACCCAAUAGUUGCCAUGACCCACAACCUCUCACAAGGGUUCAUUAGUGGACUAUCAAAUUCAACCAAUAAAGUGAAGGAGAUACAAUUCUAGACCAUAGCUUAUAGGUCCUUCCUUGAAAACAAGUUCAUGCCCCAUUUUAGCAAUAUGCUCCAUGGGUCCUUCCAACACAGUCCAGUGUUGCAGGAAGUUAUCUCUUCUACACAUGUACAUGUCACACACCCUUAUCCAAAAGGGCCACUUCCUGGAUGGCUAUAUAAUAUACAUACCGUAUGAUGGUAAUAAUGAGGAUUUAGGCCACUGUUCUCUCAAGCCAUCCAUCACACACAAGGGUAUUGAUGGGAGUGAUUUUGAUUGUAUGGUGUUAGCAUUUUAGACACUUGGUAAAAUAAAAAGCUGUAUUACUAGAAAAGCUCAUCCACACUCAUUCUUCUUACAUACUUGUUUGCUUUUUUUUUAGAGAGAAAAACUCUUUACUGCGAUUCUCUUGUUGCACUCUUGCUCUUCAAACUAGUAUUAGGCUUUCUUCUACACUAAUCUACAUAUAUGAGGGUUUCUCUUGAAAUGUAAUUUUCAUUCAGCUGUUUUCUCCAUUUUUCACUUUCAUUUCUCAACUUUUGUUUUUGUUUUGCCCUUUUAUUUUUCUUAUUUUUGGUUUUUUUUUAUUUUAAAUGUUGUUGUCUUUGUAAUCCAUUUUCUCAUAUUUCAAGUUGUUUCCCAUAUUUUAUUCUUCUUCAUCUUCCCUUGAGGGUUUUAUUUAGGCUGGAUUUGUGUUUCUACUUGACUGGUUUUAUGGUUUUCUUGGUUCCCUGUGUAGAUAAGUGGUCAAGAUCCCUUGUCUAGUACUUGGCAACACUAGAAAGACAACUCUUCUACAUAAAUUGAAGAAUGAGGUAAUAUUCUUGCAUGGGUUUUAAUGAUUCGAUGUUUUUGUCUUUUUCAUUAUUUUUUGAUUUGUGCUUUCUUUUGCAUGAUUUAUUUCAAAUCUUGUUUAAGUUGCACAAAGAGUGGAACUUCUUGAUGAACAAAGAAAAUAAUUAUUUGUAUUGGUCAUUCGUUUGUGAGUCAGUUAUCCAGGGCUUUCUUAUAAUAAGCACUUGAAAGAGACAAACUGCUUGUUCCUACUACAAAAUGUGCCUGCCGAACCUGUCCACCUGUGCCCAUCUUCCGGGAUUCCUCCAAUUCCUCCCUGUUGUGCCGUAAUGCCUGGAAUACAUACUAAAAACAUUCAAAAUGAGAAGAUGACAAUAUUUAGUCACUCCAAACAUAGAAAAUUGAAACAAAAGAAUGGGCAUUAGCAAGAGAUAUAAUGUUGCUGAUUAGCAGUCACAAUGUUAGGUUACUAUAGGCUAGCAAGUCUAUAGCACAGGAGGAUGGAUCAAUUUUGGCAUUACUAGAGAGCAUUGCAUUUGGCCUAAAGCCUAGUGAAAUUUUUUUCAUGGUUCAAUCACAACAAAGUACAACCAUUUUCUUUUGGAGUCUUGAACAUGGGCCACGUAUACCCAAUCUGAUGGGCAUCCCACAAAUUGUAUAUUAAAUUCACAAACCGCUUUGACAAACUUCAGUUCUAAGCUAGGCCAAGUAGUUUUAUAGAGUCAAUCUUGGUCUGUACCCAUGUCAUAAAAAAAUUGAUUUCUCACUAAAAGUUCUAUCAACCCUAGCCAGGGGUCAUGAAAUCAUAGUAAAGAAGUGAGGAUAUUGUUAUUUGAUGGAGCUUCUUAUGGUGUCUUUAUUGUGUUGUGGCAACCUUGGAUUAGUGAGUUUUAUUAUGGAAUGAAAGAACAUAUUGAAGGCCUUGAUAACGAUCCACUCUUGUAUUUCCAGAGGAAACUUUGUGAAUAAUGAGUACAUAAGUAUGUUUAAGUUGGUAUGUAGCUAUAUAUGCAGCUCUAUGCUUUCUAUUUCAUUUUAGGUGUUAAGAAAUAACCAACAUCAUAUGACGCUGGUUGUAGACAUGAAUUUUGUUUUGGUCAUUUAUGACUUGCUUGUUAGAUUUAUUCAUAAACUGAUGAGCAAUUGGUAAGAUGGAUAAUAGCAUUUAUUUUAGUUGGAAUUCUUAUUUCCUCUUCCCAAUUCUAUCUUGAUAAAUAAAUUUCUCAUUCAGCCCAUUCGAUCAUUGGAUCUGGAGGCAUUUUAUUUUGAUUUUUCAUAUGCAUGAUGAACUUAUGCGUCUCAUGAGUUUGGCAGUAUUUAAUUUGGUCAUAGAAUAUGUCAGUAGCUGAAUGGAUUAGAUGAAUGAAAGAUGCAAUUUUUAGACAUGUCGUGGUGUGUGGCUCUACCACUGUAUGCGAUUAAUGUGCUGUUGCUUCUGACAUACUAGUAGACAAUCUGAUGACCCUCACCAAGCAUGUGUCAUUUUUUGGUGUCAAACAUGGAGGCAUUUUCCAGUUCACAUGUUGAAAUUUCAGACAUGAACACCUAUGGUUUGACAUGUUUGCCCCCAUUAGUUUUGACAUGUGUCUAGACGUUGAACAACCAUAUUCAUAUAUAGGAUGCAUAUAUUUGCUUUUUUAUGUUAAUUUUUUUUAUUUUUUAUUUACUUAAUUAUGUAUAGAGAACUUAGUACCCAACAAAUGCAAGAUGUUGAAGCUUAGUAGUGUACAAACAUGUCGUGCUUGAUACCCUAUUUUUUGGGGGCCAUGUUAGAUGCCAUAUGUCCAUGUCCUCGUGUAGGCUGGGACUGAUUGGUCAUUUGGUUCCUCUUUCUCUAGUCUGAUAAUCGGAACAUGUAUAUUGCUCCACUCUAUGGGGUUAACUUUGUAUUGACUUAAGCUUUCAAGGGUUUGAACAAGCAUUUUAUGAUUUUUCUUGUACAGUAUCACAGAAACGUUUCUCUUUCCACUUCAAACCCUAAGAGCAAUGCAAACUCCAUCUAACUACCCAAAAAAAAACUACAAACUUGAUCGUCUUCUCUCUUUCUCUCUGAUUUUUGUUGGGUUAUCCUAGUAGCAAUCGAAACCCUAUCCUCUUUGAUGAGGGUCAUAAGAUCUUAGACCAAGGCUCCUUUGAACGCUCUCUACUUGUCUCGAGUGCAUGUGCGUGCAAUCAUAAAGCCUCAAGAAUGCUCUCUUGCACACAAACAACUUGAGAGUCCUAAGCCACUCAUUAGUUUAACUUUGAUAAGGUGACCUUGGAUUCCAAAUCUAGCUGAGUGGAUUGCUCCGAUACCUAAUUCAACCUCAUAGAAUGCUAAUUUUUCUUUUAAUUAUUUUUCAAAUUGUUCCAAAAUGUGUUAUGGAGAAUGCUUUGGUUAAUUUUUGGGAGUUUUUGUAGAUUUUUUGAAAAUUUUGUUUAACAUAAAAAUUUUAAAUAAUUAUUUUUAAGAAAUGACAAAUAAGGACAAACCUGAGCAACCCACACAUGACACCCAAAUGGCCAAUGGGUGUCCCCUCUAUGGGAACUAUAUCAUAAUUAUUUAUUAUUUAAUGAGGUUUUUAGUUGUGGAGCUGGAUCUCAAGCUUUGAUGAAACCCUAGCCAUUUGUUUUUUUUUUUAAAAUGUUCUAUAAUUUUAUUGCUUCAAAGAAAGUUACAACAAUUCUAAACCAAAGGAAUGUUUCUUAGGUAUUCAAGCUAAGAGGCCGAUGGGACGAAUGUCAGUUAUCACAAAGAUUGAAUGUUUCUUAGGUAUUAAAGCUAUGUAAGUAGAGUUUGUCGCCCUACUCAAAGAGCCUUAUCCAGAAACUCAUUAAGCAAUUCAAAUUUAGUCAAAUCCCAAAAUCUUUAGAAAAAUGUUAAAGGAAACCCAUCCGGACCUGGAGCCUUAUCUCCUGGAAGUGCAAAGACUACCCUCCUAACCUCUUCCUCUGUAGCCCAAUUUUCCAAAGAAGUAGCUUCCUCAACUGAUAAACUCUAAAAUUGCAAGCCAAACAAUCUAGAGAUAAAAGCCAAUUCUUUAGAAUACAGUCUCUGAAAAUGGCUAACGAAUUUCAGUGCCUAGGCCGACCUAUCCUGCACAUCCACACCUUCAAAUUGAAUUCCUGAUAUAUCGUUCUGCCUUCUCCUCGCAUUAGCUAUAGCACGAAAAAUUUUCGUGUUUAAAUCCCCCUCUUUAAGCCACUUAACUCUUGAUCUCCGCAUCCAAUAUAUCUCUUCUGACCUUAAAAUCUCACUAAGCGAAUUCAUAAGGCUCAUAUUCACUUCUUUUAAUUGAACAUAUGAACUUCCCCCAUUGUAAACAACCAUCUCUAUCAGAUCUGAACUCAUCUGCACUUCCCCAAUUUUUUUUUUUAUAUGGAAUUUCGUCUCUUUUUUCCACUAAAUAAGUUUGUGCUUGUUGUUCACCAACCUUUUAUGAAUUUGAAAUCCAUACUACCCUGGGUAGAUUGAAUUUUUCCAAGCAUUCGAGAUAAGCUCUAUCACGUCUGCUUCUUCUAACCAUACCAGGUCCAACCGAAAAGGCUUAGGACCCGUCAUCACAUUAUCAAUUUGCAAACAAAUAGGAAUGUGAUUAGAAGAUAACUUAGUAAGUGCAUUAACCUUUGCCAAUGGGAACUUCAACUCUCAAUCAUCCAAAAUCAAUAACCGAUGAAUCUUACAUUGAAUCAGAUUAUCUACACUGUUAUUUGACCAUGUGUAAUGCACUCCAUUAAUAGGCAGAUCUUCAAGAUAGUGCCGCAUAAUAAAAUGAUUCAAAAUACGCAUGGAAUGGUUCAAAGAUGAAUUAUAUUAUAUUUCCACUUACCAUCGAAUCAUAUUAAAGUCUCCACCGAUACAAAAAGGAAAUUAAAAUCCAAAAUGAUAGUAGAAAUUUCAUUUUAAAAAUCCUCUUUCAAAGCAUAAGAGUUUGGUCCAUAUACAUUGAAACAAACCCAUUUAAAGCUAUCAUUUAACCUCUUUCCCCCACCACAGAACCUAACAGCUUAAGGCUCGUCAAGUCCCACACAGACCACAAACCACCAGAAAAACCUACAAGAUCGAUACCCACAAAAUCUACUAGUCCCCCACCCCAAACAUCCCUAACUAAAAAAACUGAGGGAGAAGGUAGCUUUGUCGCUUGAAAAAGCAAAACAUCUGGUCUAUGAGACCUAACCAACAUUCAAACUUCACGCUUCUUCUUAACCUCCCCCAAGCCUCAAAUAUUCCAACUAAUGAGAUUCAUUAAAACAAGAUGAGGAUCCAUUUCUAACUUCCGACCCCUGAGUAGAAUCAGUUGCCUGUCUCAAGGUCAUGUAUUGCUUCAGCCAUUUUUCACUUGAGCAAUGAACCUUGAGUAUCCCAAAAGAAAAUGUGCACUGGUGUCUAUAAAUAUAUAUUGAGAUCCAUUCUAAACAUUUUUUAUGUUCUCUUUCAAACAACUCAAUGGCUUGUUAGCAUUCCCUGUUUACUUUAUGAAAUGAGAUCUCCAUAAUAGCGGUGAUUUCUUUGAACUCCCACUCUGAUUUAGUAAGAAUGGUUUAAAACAAGGACUAGGGUCAGUCUCGUGCUUGAGUCAUGAAACUUGGACUCUGCCAAGUUUGGCAGAGACUCGAUUGAGUGAAAACUAAUGGGAACUAGCGAGACUCGGUUGUUUCCUAUAGUUUUCAUUCGGACUCUUUUGUCUAAGUAACUCAGGCAAGCCAGGAUAGGUGCGAGUUAGUUCAAAUGGAAGGCUCAAGAAUGGCAAGUGGUAGGCCCAAAAGGACAUGGUUGGAACUAGUGAGAAAAGAUAUGGUGACUUAUAGCCUCACUGAGGAUAUGGCUCUUGAUGAAGCGAAAUGGCAGAUCAAGAUUCGUGUAGCCGCCCCCAAAUAGUUGGGAAAAGGCUCUGAUGAUGAUGAUUCGUAAAUCGUAAAUCUUUAUUUUUUUUUCUUGUUCUUUCUUUAUUUUGGAUUUUAUUAAGCUACUUGUUUUGAAUGAAUCCUCUCUACCUGCUUUCCAUUAUGCUUCCCCUCGACCAUUGAUUCAAAAAGUUGUCUGCCCCGUGCCUAGGCAGGCUACGGUGGCCUGGGCGAUUGACCAUUGAUUCAAAAAGUAGUCCACCUAGUGCCUGCUUAGGCUAGGGGGCCUGGGCGCAUCGUCCAAGCUUGAGUGGACCGAUUAAGUGGGUGUCCCUGGGCUUCCGCCUAGUACCUUUGCUUAAGCAGAUGUCCAGGGUACCUAGGUGGGUGCCCAGGGGACUACGUCUGCUUAGGUGCAAAAAUACCCAUCAAGUGGGGUAUUUUGUUUUUGUUUGGAUAAUAAAAAAUGCAUAUCCAUGCUUAGGACUUAAAACAUGAUUACUGGAUACCCCUUGCCCCUUUAACCUGGGCGGGCAUUUUUGGAACAUUGCCCUCGACUCUUAUAGCCCUAGUGUCGGAGUUUGGAUCAUGGUUCAUUUUUAUAUUGCAUCUUUACCCUUGUUGCUAUUUAUGUGUUAUGAAAACAAAAAUUUUCCCUUUUUUGUGUUUCUUUAUGCUUUGUUCUCGUAGUUUCUCAAUAAUAGAACUUCAUUCAUGCAUGUAAACUUAGUCAUUUGGAGUCUUACUUGCAGCAUGUUAUGAGUAAGUGGAUUGCGAGCAAGAUGUUUUAUGUUUUGCACGUGGCCUUGUGUUUGCACAUGUGAUUGCAUGAGAGUUGCUUUUGGUUUGUUGCUUUUUUUUAAUAUAUGCCGGGUUGCCUACUAUCAAUGUUAAAAAAUGUAGAUUCGGCCGCUUAACCGGUUUUGGGUGCCUGGCUGCCUAGGGGCCCAUGCUCUCACCCAGAGACAGGGUGUCCUCACCAUUAAGACUUAAAUGAAUAAUUAAAUAUAUAAGACCUUAGUUUCACUUUCACAUUAGAUUUAACUCAUUAAGAUAUCACGUAAUCAUUUAUUUAUCAAAUAAAGUAAAACAAAAAUAAUAUAAUAUCAAAACGUGACACAUUGUACAAGAAAUGAAUCAAUUAUUUAUAAAAGAAUACAAUAUAUGCUCAAUUUCAUUGUCCACAUGAGAAAAAUUCAAUUAAUCACAAAAAAAGCAAUCUUUUAACUACAAACAUGUAAAUAUAGCGUAAAAGAAUAAAAAAAAAAGUAAAGGAAAAAACACAUGAUUCAUAACCUAAUAUGUUGUAAUCAAAUAAAAUCAAAACCCUCUUUAAAAUAUGAUAAUACUUUAAAAAUAUCAAAAUCAACUAUUAGAAGCUCCAAAUCCACCCACGAACUAUUGCCUUUGUUUUGGGAAGAAAUAAAAAAAUUAAAAAAUUUAUCGAUCUUUCGAUAAAUCACAAAAGAGUGAUUUUUGGGGGGUUUUUCUCACCCUAAAGGCCACGGUUUUUGUUUUAGGGGUUAGAAUACCUCCCAAAACCCUUUUCCCCCCUUUUUAAGGGGGGGAAAUUACAUUUUUUGACCCUACCCAAGGUUUUUUUUCCGUCCGUGCGCAAAGUGUCAGGGGGGGCGCCUAGGCGGGCGCCCAAACAGUAGUUCCUAGGCAGCGCCUUCCCCGCCUAGGUGGGCGCCUAGAGAUAGGGCGCAUAAUGACCCCGCCCAAACAUCCUAGGCGUUUUUUGAAUUUUUUCGCGUAGUCUGCCUAGGCGGUUGGGCGGCCAAAUUUUUGAACACUGCCUACUAUGUAGCUAUAUAAUUUAAAAGAAACUGUAUUACCAGUUCCUCCUAAAGAAGAGAAGAAAUUUAUUGGGCUCAUCUGGCUAAAGUCAGAUGGCUCAAGCUUGACAACCAAAAUACAACUUAUUUCCACAAGAUAGCGAACUGUCAAAGAAGGGAGAACUGUAUUACCCACUUCAAGGUGGCGGACCAGAUUGUUGACCAUCCCAAUCUCAUUGAGGCAGCGGUUGUCGAAUAUUUUUCCAAGCUUUUCUCUUCCCCUUCUAGUCCUAGGCCAGUAAUGGCGGACCACUCCUUCUCUUCUAUUUCUCCCGAAUCUGCAGCCUCUUUGGAAACCCCUUUUAGGAGGACAAAGUACUCCAAGCCAUUAAAGACCUCAAUGGACUUCCCCAUAGCCCUCUUCAAAGUCUUUUGGGAUACCCUUAGGACUGAUAUUGUGGCUUUUUUUUUCUGAAUUUCACUCUCGAGCUACUAUCCAUAAGGCGAUGAAUGCCACUUUCAUUGCCAAGAUGCCCAAGAAGGAGGGAGCAAAAGAGCUUAAAGACUUCAAACCCAUUAGUUUGAUUAAUACUUCCUACAAAAUUCUCUUAAAGGCCUGGCUUCCCGCCUUAAACGGGUCCUUGGUCAGGUGAUCUUAUCGUCCCAAGGGACCUUUGAGAAGGAACAUUAGAUUCUCGAUGGGGCUCUAAUAGCACACGAGUGCAUCCAUUCCCGCUGUAGAGCAAAAAUCCCAGACUCGGUAAUCAAAAAGCUUAUGAUGAUGAGACUUUGUCCAAAAUGCCAUUUGGCUCUCUAUGGUUGAGAUGCAUUCAAAACCCCAAUUUUUGGACCUUAUUAAUGACACAUCUAAGGGUUACAUUCAUGCUUCGAGAGGGCUCUACCAAGGGGAUCCCCUUUCACCCUUCCUACUUGCCAUAGUAGCUAAGGUGUUCAGUGCCUCACUAUCUCGUGUGUACAACACGGGACGCAUUUAGGGUUUCCAAGUGGGUAGGUGGGGUCUCUCUAUAUUCCACCUCUAAUAUGUCGAUGAUACCCUCCUUUUUUGUGAUGCAAUUUUUUAAAAAGUUAGUUGUUUGUUGCUCUUCCUCCAAUGCUUAAAGUUGGCUACGGGCUUUAGGGUGAACCUAGAAAAAACUAAGAUGACAGGAAUCUGCCUUGACCAAGCCAUAGUGAAAUGCUUCGCUGACUCAUGGGGAUGUGCUGUAGAGCCAAUGCCUUCAUCCUAUCUUAGCCUUCCAUCUUGCAUUGGCCUUCCUCGAAUCCAGUUAUGGAGCCUAGUUAUAGACAAAGUCGAGUGGCACCUGGCUUCAUGAAAAGGGAGAGUCCUUUCACCAGGCUGCAAAGCAACCCUUAUCAAGGCCACAAUUUCCAGUAUUUCCCUUUUCAUUAUGUCCUUUUUCUUUAUGGUCGUAGUCGCUAGACUGGAAAAACUCAUGAGGGCUCUAAGGCUGCUCUUUGAAGGGGCAAGUGAAGAAAGUCAAGCCCCAAGCAUGAGAGCUUAUGUAUGUAGAAGUGUCUAUCAAUUGAAAACCUACUGAGGCUAUGAUUGACCCUGGGGCUACACACAACUUUGUGGCGGAUCAAGAGGCUCGUUGGCUGAACCUCAGUGAAAGUACUGGAUGGUCUCUCCCUAAAAUCAAAUACUUGCGGGUGUCGUUCAGCCUCCUUUCAAGGGAAGAGAGGCUAGAACUUGCCGCUCUCCCUCCCUCACUUACCUUUGACAAUGAAGCGAGAAUUGAAUCAAUUACUUGUUUCAGUCAGCUUGCUUUCAAACUAGCCGUACUCGAACCGUCCUCAUAGACACGAUGAAACUCGAUUUCUUGUUCACCUCCUCGUCACCCGCUUUACUACUCCCUUGCUAGUUUCUUUUGUCUGACCCGUAACCCUUCCUCUUCGAUGGCAGAAAGCAUUACUGGUCCACCUAAUGCGAGAUCUUGAAACCACAAUUUCAAGAGACUCUUAGUUGACCACAAGCUUCCCCAGUUUUUGAAUCUCUCGGUCUUGCCCGAUUCGAUAUUUUUUCUCCCACAUGCAAUGACAAGAUUGUCUGAUUGCCCUCUCCAUCAGGUUUGUUCACAGUUGCUUCAUUUUACUGAAGCUUAUAGUCCCUGCCUUCUCCUCCCCUCUCAGCCUUUCCCUCUAUAGCCACCAUGGCUUGGUGCUCCUUUUUGCCCUCAAAAUCCAGCUUAUUACUUGGAUAGCACUCUAUGAAAGGGCUUUGACACUCGAUCAACUACAGCAAAGAGGUAUACAUUUUCCUAAUAGGUGCACCAUGUGCCUCAAUGCUGAAGAAACCAAUCAACAUCUAUUUCUAAAUUGUGAGGUUGCCUUGGCCCUUUGAACCGACCUUCUUCUUUUAUUCAAGUGGCUGUGGGUCAUUCCCCAAUUGAUCCCUCACCUCUUCUCCUUAUGCCUUGGAACUCCUUGGAAAAAUUCAGGAAAUCUUCUUAUGGAGUGCUUCCAUCUCAGCCACUCUUUGGACCAUUUGAAUUGAGAAGAAUAAUAGGAUCUUUAGUGAGGAGAGAGCCUCUACCUCAGCUCUUUUUGAAAAAAGGAGGUUACUUGUCACAUUCUGAGCCCUAAACCUCCCAAGCUUCUACAUCUUCUCCUUUUCGGAUCUUCACCAAAAUUGGCAAGCAUUGCUACACCUAAGUACCCAUAGGAUUCCUCAAGCUUCUUUAUGAAGGACACCGGAACCUGGGGCCAUCUGAUAGCUGCUCUCUAGGCAACCAGGGCUCCUCAGGCAUUGGAUGCCUGUUUAGGAAUUUUGAAGCCCUGAUCUUCCUUUCUUAUGCUCUGCCUAUCAGAGUCAAGGACUCCACAUUCGCUGAGGCCAAGUCUCUAAUCAGAGGACUCAGAAGAUUUAAUCAUCUUUGGAGCAGAAAGGUGUAGGUAGAGGAUAUUCCAGCAACACUAUCGCUUGGGCUUCUGGCAAUGCCCUCUGCCCUUGGAGACUAGAUAACAUUUUUGUCGAAAUUGGCCACAUUUGCAGCAGUAUCCAAGUCUCUUGGAGACACACUCAUAGGAAUUGUAACGCUGCGGCAGAUGCACUAGCAAGGGAGGGAGCAAGUCUCAACUAUCCCUAGGGGAAUUUGGACCUCCCUUAGUGCUCACCUCAGUUUUGGAUCUAUUGCAAAGAUCCUCGGACCCUCAAGGCUUCUUGUAUAGGGCACCCUGUUUUGGGAAUUGCCUAGUUUUGUUAGUAAUUGUCUAUACAAUCAAUACAAAAGUCAACUUCCUCCAGGAAAAAAAAGAAGGUUGGUUGACUAAUGGAGAACAUGUUGAUUUAUUGCAUUUGGGUUUUAUGCCUAGAGGAUUCAUUAGAAGGUUCAGAACUUUUUAAUACUAGAUCUUUCUAUUCNNNNNNNNNNNNNNNNNNNNNNNNNNNNNNNNNNNNNNNNNNNNNNNNNNNNNNNNNNNNNNNNNNNNNNNNNNNNNNNNNNNNNNNNNNNNNNNNNNNNNNNNNNNNNNNNNNNNNNNNNNNNNNNNNNNNNNNNNNNNNNNNNNNNNNNNNNNNNNNNNNNNNNNNNNNNNNNNNNNNNNNNNNNNNNNNNNNNNNNNNNNNNNNNNNNNNNNNNNNNNNNNNNNNNNNNNNNNNNNNNNNNNNNNNNNNNNNNNNNNNNNNNNNNNNNNNNNNNNNNNNNNNNNNNNNNNNNNNNNNNNNNNNNNNNNNNNNNNNNNNNNNNNNNNNNNNNNNNNNNNNNNNNNNNNNNNNNNNNNNNNNNNNNNNNNNNNNNNNNNNNNNNNNNNNNNNNNNNNNNNNNNNNNNNNNNNNNNNNNNNNNNNNNNNNNNNNNNNNNNNNNNNNNNNNNNNNNNNNNNNNNNNNNNNNNNNNNNNNNNNNNNNNNNNNNNNNNNNNNNNNNNNNNNNNNNNNNNNNNNNNNNNNNNNNNNNNNNNNNNNNNNNNNNNNNNNNNNNNNNNNNNNNNNNNNNNNNNNNNNNNNNNNNNNNNNNNNNNNNNNNNNNNNNNNNNNNNNNNNNNNNNNNNNNNNNNNNNNNNNNNNNNNNNNNNNNNNNNNNNNNNNNNNNNNNNNNNNNNNNNNNNNNNNNNNNNNNNNNNNNNNNNNNNNNNNNNNNNNNNNNNNNNNNNNNNNNNNNNNNNNNNNNNNNNNNNNNNNNNNNNNNNNNNNNNNNNNNNNNNNNNNNNNNNNNNNNNNNNNNNNNNNNNNNNNNNNNNNNNNNNNNNNNNNNNNNNNNNNNNNNNNNNNNNNNNNNNNNNNNNNNNNNNNNNNNNNNNNNNNNNNNNNNNNNNNNNNNNNNNNNNNNNNNNNNNNNNNNNNNNNNNNNNNNNNNNNNNNNNNNNNNNNNNNNNNNNNNNNNNNNNNNNNNNNNNNNNNNNNNNNNNNNNNNNNNNNNNNNNNNNNNNNNNNNNNNNNNNNNNNNNNNNNNNNNNNNNNNNNNNNNNNNNNNNNNNNNNNNNNNNNNNNNNNNNNNNNNNNNNNNNNNNNNNNNNNNNNNNNNNNNNNNNNNNNNNNNNNNNNNNNNNNNNNNNNNNNNNNNNNNNNNNNNNNNNNNNNNNNNNNNNNNNNNNNNNNNNNNNNNNNNNNNNNNNNNNNNNNNNNNNNNNNNNNNNNNNNNNNNNNNNNNNNNNUCCCCCUACAUGCUGACACACACGUGCACGUGCACAUUUGCACAAACAAAAUGAAAAAUAACUAUUGCUACCCAUGAAAGAAGUAUUAAGCACUUACAUGUAGAACAUUUGUUUCUGAGUUUUUUAGUUAAGCAUAUAUAAAACAAUAAAAAAGUAUACAAAAAGAUCGUUUACUUUUUGUACAAGGAGGUCACAAUCAUUCAUAUCCCUUAAAUUUCAAAUUGGGUGGUUGUAGGAGUGUCAUUAGAUAAACUCAAAGUUUGAAAAAAAAAUUCUCGGACUUUGUGACCCACUCUAAGGCAACAAAGUUGACAUCCAAUGAAUAAAAAUAAUUGUGACCCCCUUAUACAAAAAGUAAAUGGUCUUUUUGUAUACAAUCCCGAUAACAUUUGCUCCUUGCGUGAUCAAUAAGGUCUGUUGAUAUCAAUUUACAAUUUGACUUUGGGCACAGGUGUCUCCUAUUUUGUCUAAAUAUGCAUAGGAAUUUUCAAAUUUUGUGUUUUUCAUAUUACCGAAGUGUGUUUCAUAUUACUAAAGUGUUUUUCAAAUUUUCAUAUUUUGUCUAAAUAUGCAAGAGAUAAUAUUACUGAAGUGUUUUUCAAAUUUUCAAAUUUUCAUAUUAUCGAAGUAUUUUUCAAUGUUUCAACUUUUCAAAUUUUCAUAUUUUGUCUAAAUAUGCAAGAGAUCAUAUUACCGAAGUGUUUUUCAUAAAAACAUGAAGUACAUGUAUAUAUUUUCUUUGUUAAAAAAUAUGAUUUUUUGAAGAUCUUUUGAAAAAAUUUAGAGUUCUUAAAGGAUUUCAAAACUUAGAGAUUUUUUAAAAACUCUUGUUUUAAGCGAAGACUUGCGAGCUUGGAGGUUCAAGUUUUGGCCUUGUAGGUUCAGGGUUAAGGAAAUUGAGGUUUUAAAUUUUUUAUGAUCAAUAAUAGAGCAUUCAGGAGGAGGAGAUAGAAACUGAGGGUUUUAGAGAGAGAAAGAGCCAAGAAAAGAGUUAAAAAUUUGAGCUUUUUUAAGAAAAUUUAUUUUUAUGAUAUCUAAAUAGUUUUCUAUAUUUUUAUUGAUAGCUUUUGAUGCUAAAUAUUAAUAUAUUUUUUCUUCUAAUUUUUACCGAAUUUUUAGAAAUGUUUUUUGGCUUUUAUAGGGCUAGUUUGGGAUUAAAUAUAGUGGGUUAGUUUUACUCAGCUCGUAUCGGCUCGAUUCAGCCAAAGAUGAUGAAUAUCGGCUCGGCUCGGCUAAAUUCGGCUAAAAUCAGCUCGGCUAGAUUCGGCUCGGCUCGGCUAUAUUAGGCUCAGCUCGGCUCAAUUCUGCUAGAUUCGGCUCGGCUCAGCUGACUUUAGGUAAAUUUGUAAUGGAACUGAGCUGAGCCGAAUAAUAUAAGCCGAGCUGAGCCGAUACCAGCUAAGCUGAGCUGAUAUCAGCCGAACCGAGCCGAUAUAAACUGAGCCGAGCCGAUAUCAGCCGAGCCGCGCUGACCAAGCCAGCCAGUUCGCCCACAACCUCCAUUUAUAUUAAAAAAAAAAAAGGUGGCUAAACCAAUCACGUUCACCUUUUUUUCCGCUCUGUGUACCUGUGUAAAGUGGGAGAUUAGUUUGAGGAUUGGGAUUUUGAGAAACUUCUUCACUGCUUUAGGUUUUAUGUGUCAUGAGAAAAUGAUUGUGGUUUGUUUCUUGACCACUAUGAUAAUAAAUAAAGGGAAUGGCAGCUGCUUCAAUUGUUGAGAGAAAGAGAAGUACAUUUGUACCAGUUAGAGAGAGAAAGAUUUGCAUUCUUUCAGAGAGAGAGAACAUAAAGAGAUUGCAGAAAAACACUUGGAAGAAGGAACAAGUGGAAAAGGAAAAGAUGAGGUAGUUUUCUUUCUAACUGAUCACCAAUUAAGAGGAUAAGGGGUUUGCUUUCAUUUGCCUACAUCUGUGUAACUCUGAUAUGCAAGAGAGAGAGGGAAAAUGCCUGGCCAAGAAAGAAAGGAGCAAAAGGGCAUAUGCUAGCAUCCUGACCUCCACCACUUCCUUGGGCUCACUCUUUAAUAAAGGUGUAUCUGAUGCGAGAGGAAUUUGAGUUGCUUGACCUCUUGUUUUCAUUUCUUUCAGGUUCUUAAUAAAGUUUUUGUUUUUAGAUAAAUACAACCACAAGAAUUAGAAUGAAAGAUAUCCAUCAUAAAAUUGCUUUUAGAUAAAUACAACCACAAGAAUUAGAAUGAAAGAUAUCCAUCAUAAAAUUGCUUUUAGAUAAAUACAACCACAAGAAUUAGGAUGAAAGAAAUCCAUCACAAAAUUACAUAAAUAGAGCACACAAUGCAGUGGACAACAAAAGCAACCCUAGACAAAACCAAACUAAAGUUUGGUAAUUUGGAUUCAAUUUAUGAAGAAACUGUUGAUGCCCCAAGUAGUUCAGCUGGAAAUAUGCAGUAUAUCACAUUGCAAAUAGAGGGGGCAAACCAGAGAUUGCCACUUCCUGUGCAUAGGUUCUGAGUCCUUUGGCAACUGUCGAUGCCACUGAGAGUAUAGAUUUUGCCAGGAGUGGGCAUUUCUUUCUGUUGGGUCUUGAAGCUAUGUCUGCAUUAUGCUCUGAAAAUCCAAGUUCACCAAUUUUACAUGUUCCUUUGGUUUGCAAAUUACAUACACUGUCCAUGGUUUUCCUCAAAAGAAAUGACAUUCUUGAAGAGAAGAAAACGAGAGAUACUUUCAAAACUUUACACGACUUGUAUGGGCAACGUCUGGACAAACUGAGACAAAGAAGACCUGAAGUCGUUCCUGAAAAUGAAAAAUCCUCUGGUGUAUAGAGCAGAAAAAUCCUUUACUUCGUAAAAGACGUCCAUGAAAGUUAUCGCUCAUUUAUUGAGAUCCCCAUUGAGCAAUUCAGUGCUGUAUCCUAUUUGGCCAGCAAUUAGGUGUAUAUCUCCACCGUACAGUAGAAGUGCCAGUCAGUCUUGCUGCAUAGAAAGCACUAUCCAAUGUCCAUAUUUUGGAACUUUUUCCACCCAUAAAUGAUUGCAUUGCGGAGAUUGAAGGAUAUCUUAUCCCUUUUGAGGUACUGGAUUAGACUUCUGUUUGCUUCCAUGCCCAGACUUUACUUCAUACUGGCAUCUUUUGACAAAGCUCUGUCUCUGACUUAUGUUGUGCACUGUUUUUUAGUGAGAGAAAGAGAAGUACAUUUGUAAAUAGUUAUAGAGAUAAAGGUUUGCAUUCUUUCAGUGAGAGAGAGAGAACCUAAAGAGAUUGUAACAGAAAUACAAAUAGAAGAAGGAACAAGUGGAAAAGGAAAAGGUGCAGUGGUUCUCUCUCUCUCUAACUGAUCAUCAAUCAAGAGGUUAAGGGGCAUAUCUGUGCAAAGUUUGAAUGUGCAUCUGUGUAACUCUGUAAGGCCACUGUUUAAUUUCUAGAGAAUCAUCAAUGCACUUCAAUUUUCAGCUUUUCUGCUACCUGACUUAUGUCCUUACUCAUGCUGCUCGAUGUAGCCACCCUUUAGCUUACAGUUAUCUCCCAAAUAAGAAAAAUAAAAUUGAAAAUCUGUCUUUAGGUAUCUUUGUGGAGGCAGAGGGAGACCUGCUGCUCUUCGAGAUGAUGAUUUCUGGCUCAGGGCUGCUCUUGACCCUUGUCAUUUGCUUUGUAUUUUUGUGUUCUUUGAUCCUUUUUAUAUAUAGAAAUUUUGUGGUCUAUCAAAAAAAGUACAAAGUAUUUUGAUGCAGCACCUUAACGUGGUUGAAAGGCUUGUAUAAUGCUAGCGUUAGUUCAGUUGCGUAUUUGAAUCAUGAGUUUGUUUUCCCCACAGCAUGUACGUGUUCUUGAAAUAUGUUAUAUAUAUAUUUAUUCAUCCAUGUGAUGGUGCUGUUAGGAUGGGUGGGUGUCUUCCUUAAAUCUUUAGAGUUAGAAGCAUUGGGAGCGGAAGACGAUGUUGAUAGCAGAGUUAUUGCGCUGGAUAACCGAACCUCUCCACAUCAUGCAGCCAUUGAAAAGGCAGAGCUCAGGUAACCACCAUUGUCAUUUUCCUCUGGAUAUCUGUCCAUCAUCGGAUGCUUGUUUUUUUUUUUUAAAUAUCCAAGCAGUUGAGAAUUUGAUUGAGAGAGGAAAGGAGAAGCGAACUAGACGAGUUGUUGCGCUGGAAAACUGAACCUCUCCACUUCAUGCAGCCAUUGAAAAGGCUCAAGCAGUGCUCAGGUAGCCACCACCGCCAUUUUCUCUGGAUAUCUAUCCAUCUUUGGAUUUGUUUUUUUCUUUUCUUUCAAUAUCAAAGCAAUACUAUGAUUGAGCUACUCGCCAGCUUGAACUAGAGUUUCUUGAGAAGGUAAGAACUUGUUUGUUGUUGUCUCACUUUACCAUCUCCUCGAUACAUUUGUUGCCGUUGCAAUCCCAUUUAAUAAAGAAGAAUUUCCAUUCUUGUGUUGUAGGGAGGCAAUCCCUCUUCUUCCUAUUCCUCAAAAUCUUCUGUACCGGCCUUUGUGGACUCUCGCUUUGCGAACUCAAUCGACCAAGCCCAAGGCAAUCCUCACGAGAUCCCUUAAGUGAUGGGCUUCCUGUUCAAUGGCCCACAUGAAGCCCUUGAAGCUUCAUCAAUGUUGAUAGCGAAUCGAGAUGCCAGUACAAGUUGAAGAAUGUCAAAGGUAAGGCUCCCGCCACCAAUUUAAGAGCAUCUCGAGAGCUAUCCAACUCUCUUUCAAAGUAAGGUACGAGAAAGGGGAACCCUCAGCUAAGGUCCUCCCCCCUCCCUCGGCUCCUCAGCAUUCUCGCCGCUUGGCCAUGAGUGCCAUUCGCCCCUUACCUUUGCUAUGAAGAUCUUUAUUUGGAAUAGAAGGGUUUGGACCACCCAGGAAAACAACAAAUAUUCAUCAAUUUGUUUCAGAGUAUUCUCCCUCCCUUCUUAGUUUUGUGGAAACCAAGUUUCCUUCCCCCAGUCUCCUAAAUUCAAAAUAUUUGGGGUCUUCCCCUAGCAGUGGUUAGCUCUGGAUGGUCCCAUCUCAACACGCCUUAGUUGCCUCUCACAUUAGCAAGUUCUCUGUCAUAGUGACCCUAGCUAGGAUCACUGAUUUCCUCCAUUAGAAGUGCAUUGUGGUCUAUGAACUAUAAGAAGACAACGAGAAAUUGAACGUUUUGAGAGAGUUACAAUCUUUGAUGACCUCCCUUUUUCUUAGUGGUGCGUAGGAGGUGAUUUUAAAAUCACCAGAUGGUCUUACAACCGUAAUUCCCACGACAAAACUGCCCCUUCAAUGGUAUAGUACUCUGAUUUCUUAGCUCAUAACAGUCUUUUAGACAUCCUGGUUGAAGGAGCUGAGUUCAGUUGGUCUAGUCAUUCGGCUAAUCCAAGUCUCUCAAAAUUAGAUAGAUUUUUAACCCCUAUCGAGUGGGAUCAUGAGUUCCCUGGCACCCACUCUCUGGUGCUUCCCAAGCCCGCCUCAAAUCAUAGAUCUAUCUUGCUGGAGACCCAAUCCCUUCCUCGAAGGCCUAAGCCUUUUCGCUUUGAGCUGUCUUAGCUCUAAGAGCCCGGCUUCCCCUCUCCCGUCUAUAACCAUUGGGAGUCCUUCUCCCCACUUAUGAAUGGGUGGGCCCGUUUUAUCUUGUAGAAAAAGCUUCAAAUGCUCAAAGUUCUCCUGAAAUCAUGGAGUUCACAUCUCCCUGGAAACUUAUGAUACCCAAAAGACUCCCUUUUGAGGUCUAUUCAACACUGAGACUUCAUUGAAGAACUUAGACCUCUCUCCCCUUGUGAGCUGGAUUCUCGAUACAUCCACAAACAUGAUUACCAAUGCCUCCUAAAGAAAAAAGAAAUUUUUGGAGCUCAGCGGGCCAAAGUCAAUUGGCUCAAGCUUGGCAACCAAAAUAUAGCUUACUUCCACAAGAUAGCCAACUGUUGAAGAAGGGAUAACUCUAUUACCCACUUCAAGGUGUGGGACCAAAUUGUUGACCAUGAGUUCCCUGGCACCCACUCUCUGGUGUUUCCCAAGCCCACCUCAAAUCAUAGACCUAUCCUGCUGGAUACCCAAUCCCUUCCUCGAAGGCCUAAGCCUUUUUGCUUUGAGCUGUCUUGGCUCUAAGAGCUUGGCUUCCCCUCUCCUGUCUGUAACUAUUGGGAGUCCUUCUCCCCGCUCGGUGGGCCCGUUUUAUCUUGUAGAAAAAGCUUCAAAUGCUCAAAGUUUUCUUGAAAUCAUGGAGUUCACAGCUCCCUGGAAACUUAUGAUACCCAAAAGACUCCCUUUUGAGGUCUAUUCAACACUGAGACUUCAUUGAAGAACUUAGACCUCUCUCCCCUUCUGAGUUGGAUUCUCGAUACAUCCACAAACAUGAGUACCAAUGCCUCCUAAAGAAAAAAGAAAUUUAUUGGGCUCAACGGGCAACCAAAAUAUAGCUUACUUCCACAAGAUAGCCUACUGUUGAAGAAGGGAUAACUCUAUUACCCACUUCAAGGUGUGGGACCAAAUUGUUGACCAUCCCAAUCUCAUUGAGGCAGUGGCUGUCGAAUAUUUUUCCAAGUUUUUCUCUUCCAGUUCUAGUCCUAGGCCAGUGCUGACGGACCUCUCUUCUCUUCUAUUUUUCCCGAAUCUACAGCCUCUUUGGAAAGCCCUUUUUAAGAGGACAAAGUACUCCAGGCCAUUAAAGAUCUCAAUGGAGACCGAUUCCCCCAGCCGUGACAAGUUCUCCAUAGCCCUCUUCGAAGUCUUUUGGGAUACCCUUAGGACUGAUAUCAAGGCCUUUUUUUUUUAAUUUCAUUCUCGAGCCACUAUCCAUAAGGUGAUGAAUGCCACUUUCAUUGCCAAGAUCUCCAAGAAAGAGGGAGCAGAAGAGCUUAAAGACUUCAGAGCCAUUAGUCUGAUUAAUACUUCUUACAAAAUUCUCUUAAGGGCCUGGCUUCCCGCCUUAAAUGCAUCCUUGGUCAGGUGAUCGUAUCAUCCCAAGGGACCUUUGUGAAGGAAUGCUAGAUUCUUGAUGGGCUUCUAAUAGCACACGAAUGCAUACAUUCCCGCCGUAGUGCAAAAGUCUCAGGCUUGGUAAUAAAAAAUCUUAUGAUCAUGUGGACUGGGUUUUAUUGAUGAGACUUUGUCCAGAAUGCCAUUUGGCUCUCUAUGGUGGAGAUGGAUCCAAGGGUGUAUUUCAAAACCGUAAUUUUUGGACCUUAUUAAUGGCACAUCUAAGGGUUACUUUCAUGCUUCGAGAGGGCUCCACCAAGGGGACCCCCUUUCACCCUUACUAUUUACCACAGUGGUUGAGGUGUUCAGUGCCUCACUAUCUCAUGUGUACAGCGCGGGAUGCAUUUCGGGUUUCCAAGUGGCUAGGUUGGGUCUCUCGAUAUUCUACCACCAAUAUGGCAAUGAUACCCUCCUCUUUUGCGAUGCAUUUUUUAAAAAAUUUAGUUGUUUGUUGCUCUUCCUCCAAUGCUUCCAGUUGGCUAUGGGCCUUAGGGGGUGAACCUAGAAAAAACUAAGAUGACAAGAAUCUGCCUUGACCAAGCCAGAGUCAAAUGCUUCACUGACUCAUGGGGAUGUGCUGUAGAGCCAAUGCCGGCAUCCUAUCUUAGCCUUCCAUUUUGCAUUGGCCUUCCUCGAAUCUAGUUAUGGAGCCUGGUUAUAGACAAAGUCGAGUGGCACCUGGCUUCAUGGUAAGGGAGAGUCCUUUCACCAAGCUGCAGAGUGAUCCCUAUCAAGGCCACAAUUUCCAGCAUUUCCCUUUUCUUUAUUUCCUUUUUCUUUAUGCCAACGGUCGUAGUCGCUAGACUGAAAAAACUCAUGAGGGCUCUAAGGCUACUCAAUGCAUUGAAGGGCAAAGUGAAGGAAGUCAAGCCCCAAGCAUGAGAGCUUAUGUAUGUGGAAGUUUCUAUCAAUGGAAAACCUAUUAAGACUAUGAUAGACACCAGGGCUACACGCUACUUUGUGGCCGAUCAAGAGGCACGUCGGCUGAGCCCCAGCUACUGGAUGGUCUCUCACUAAAUUCAAAUACUUGUGAGCGUCGUUCAGCCUCCUUUCAAGGGAAGGGAGGCCUGAACUUGCCGCGCUCCCUCCCUCACUUGCCCCUGACAACGAAGCGAGAAUUGAAUCAAUUACUUGUUUCAGUUAGCCUGCUUUCAAACUAGCCGUACUCGAACCGACCCCGUAGACACUACGAAACUUGACUCCUUAUUCACCUCCUCCCCACUCACAUUCCUACUCCCGUGGUAGUUUCUUUUGUCUGGCCCGUAACCCUUCCUCUUCCGUGGCAGAAAGCGUUACUGGUCCACCUAAUGCGACAUCUUGGAACCCAAAUUUCAGGAGACUCUUAGUUGACCACAAGCUUCACCACUUUUUGAAUCUCUCGGUCUUGCUCUAUUCGAUAUUUUUUCUCCCACAAGCAAUGACAAGAUUGCCUGAUCCCCCUGUCCAUCAGGUUCAUUCAUAGUUGCUUCAUUUAACUAAAGCUUGUACUCCCUGCCUUCUCCUCCGCUCUCGGCCUUUCCCUCUAUAGCCCAUAAGGCUGUGCUCCUUUUUGCCCCCAAAAUCCAGCUUUUUAUUUGGAUAGCGCUCCAUGAAAGGGCUUUGACACUCGAUCAACUUUAGCGAAGGGGUAUCCCUUUGCCUAAAAAAUGCACCAUGUGCCUCAAAGCUGAAGAAACAAUCAACAUCUAUUUCUAAAUUGCGAGGUUGCCUUGGCCCUUUGGACCGACCUUCUUCUUCUAUUCAAGUGGUUGUGGGUCAUUCCCCAAUAGAUCCCUCACCUCUUCUCCUUAUGCCUUAGAACUCCUUGGAAAAAUUUAGAAAAUCUUCUAUGGAGAGCUUCCAUCUCAACCACUCUUUGGACCAUUUGAAUUGAGAGGAAUAAUAGGAUCUUUAGUGGGACGAAAGCCUCUACCUCAGCUCUUAUUUAAAAAAGAAGGUCACUUGUCCCAUUCUGAGCCCUAACCCUCCCAAGCUUCUCCAACUUCUCCUUUUCGGAUCUUCACCAAAAUUGGCAAGCAUUGUUGCACGCAAGUACCCACAGGAUUCCUCAAGCUUCUUUAUGGAGGACAUCGAAACCUGGGGCCAUCUGAUGGCUGCUCUCUAGGCAACCAAGGCCCCUUUGGCAUUGGACGCUUGUUUAGGAAUUCUGAAGGCCUGAUCCUCCUUUCUUAUGCUCUGCCUAUCGGAGGUGAGGAUUCCACAUUCGCUGAGGCCAAGUCUCUACUCAAAGGACUCAGAAGAUUUAAUCAUCUUUGGAGCACAAAGGUGUAGGUAGAGGGUAUUCCAGCAACACUAUCGCUUGGGCUUCUGGCAAUGCCCCCUACCCUUGGAGAUUAGAUAACAUUUUUGUCGAAAUUGGCCACAUCUGCAGCAGUAUCCAAGUCUCGUGGAGACAGACUCGUAGGAAUUGUAACGUUGUGGUAGAUGCACUAGCAAGGGAGGGAGCUAGUCUCAACUAUCUCUAGGGGAAUUUGGAGCCCCCCUUAGCUCUCACCUCAUUUUUGGAUCUAUUGUAGAGAUUCUCGGACCCUCAAGGGUUCCUGUAUAGGGCACCCAUUUUUGGGGAUUGCCUAAUUUUUUUUUGUAAUUCUCUAUACAAUCAAUACAAAAGUCAACUUCCUCAAGGAAAAAAAAGAAGGUUGGUUGACUAAUGGGAAACAUGUUCAUUUAUUGCAUUUGGGUUUUAUGCCUGGAGGAUUCAUCAGAAGGUUCAAAACUUUUUCAUUCUAGAUCUUUCUAUUUGGUUUCUGUUCACCUUGAAUUUGGUCGAAUUUGGUUAACUAUUCAUAUUUCUGCCUCUUCUUGUCAGUUUUUUAUUUCUUGUGGGUUUGUUUGGUAGGGGGGAGGGUGUUUGUGUUUGUGUGUGUGUGUGUGCAUGGAAGAGAGAGAGUGAGAGAGAGAGAGAGAGGGAGAGAGAGAGAUUCAUAGAUGAUAUGAAUUGCAUCUCAAGACAUGGAUAUUUUAGUUGACUUGGGAUUUGAUUUCUACCCAUAAUCUGAUGGCAAACUGCCAAUAGAACAUUUGUGAGUAUGAAACUUUGGGAUUAGUCAUUAUUUUGAACAGGGACAACAAAAGUAUAAAUAGCCAUUGAAUAUGGGAAGCAAGACUUUAUUUGUUGUUUGUUUGCCUUUAGCUAGUUGCAUUAUGGAUAUUUGUUGUUUGUUUUGUUAAACAAGAUGGUUUCUCAGUUAUCUCUAUUGUUAAAUCAAUGUAAUUUUUUGUAGGUGGUAGAGCUACGAUUUACCCUAGCAGCACUUGCUUAUGUUUGACACAAAGCCAUGCCGGAUGAAAAGAAUAGUAAGUUAUGCCAGCAGUGGAGGUCUAGCUGUUCAAGCAUUGCAGGCAUAUUUUCAGCUUUGCUGCAGGAGGCUUGGUUGCUUGUUGUACAGGUACUAUUUUAUAUUGUUAUUCUAUGUUGUUGAUCCCCUUAAGCUGGAGGAAUAUCUAAAUAACUAAUUAAGGCUCAGUUCGUAAAAUGGGGGAAUUCUCUGUGUAUUGUAGUCUCUGGUGGUAUUUGCCAUUAUAAGUAAUCUUGUAGUCAUUUCUCACCAUUUCCUCUUAUUCUUUCCAUCCUACUAUGUAUGUGAUUAAAGUACCUUUUCAUUAUACAGUCUCUUAAAUCUAUAUUUUUUUCAGCACUUUUGUCCCAUUAUUCCCCUCUCCUUAUCCCCAGCAGCUAGAGCAAACCAUAUCCAUAUUCCUGAUAUUACAUUGUAAUUGUGCAAGCCCCUCUCUCUCUCUCUCUCCCCCUUACACGAGGACACACACUUGCUCGUACACAUUUGCACAAACAAAAUAAAAUAUAACUGUUGCUACCCAUGAAAGAACUAUUAAGCACAUUUACAAGUAGAACAUUUGCGUCUGGAGUUUUUAGUUAAGCAUAUAUAAAACAAUGAAAAAGUAUACAAAGAGACCAUUUACUUUUUGUACAAGGAGGUCACAAACAUUCAUGUCCUUUGAUCUCAAAUUGGGUGGUUGUAGGAGUGUCAUUAAAUAAACUCAGUUUUAAAAAAAUAUUCUCGGACUGUGACUCACCCUAAGCCAUCAAAUUUGACAUCCAAUGAGUAGGAAUAAUUGUGAACGCCUUAUACAAAAAGUAAAUGGUCUUUUUGUAUACAAUGCCAAGAACAUUAUCUCCUUGCGUGAUCAAUAACGUCUGUUGAUAUCAAUCGACAAUUUGACUCGGGCAUAUGCGUCUCCUAUUUUGUCUAAAUAUGCGUCGGAAUUUUCAAUUUUUGAAAACUCGUUACUCUUAUUUUUGGGACAAUGUCUUCUUCCCAAUCUUCUAGUAACAAGGCUCCAGCUUAGAAAUAUGCUAAACUAAAAAAUCCGAAAGAUAGAAAUUGUGUGAUAUGCUUGCUCUGUGGAAAUACUUAUAUGGGUGGUAUUUUUCGACAAAAAGAGCAUUUAACCGGAAUUUUUGGGAAUGUAAGAGCAUGCCCACAAGCUACAAAUGAUAUAAAAAAGGAGAUUAGAGAAUAUUUGGAUAGAUUGAAAAAAGAUAAAGAGAAAAAAAAAAAGAAAAGAAAGGAAUUACUUGAUGAUAUGCAAUUAUCUGAUGAUGAUGAUACAUCUGAAGUUGCUAUGAGGCAAAGGGGUACUCAUACUCCAACCUCAAGAGAGAGGGUUAUAAAUAUUGGUGGUAAUGCUGAGAGAAGAACACCUCUCUCUAAGGGGCCAAUGGAUUCUUUUUUCACCCCUAGCCCCGAAAUUGCUGUUCAAGAGAGAGAAAAAACCAAAACAAACCACAAUUGACAAUAAAUAUAAGAAAGAACAAAGGAAGUCGGUAUGUAAGUGGAUUGCAAAGUGGAUUUACAUGGCCGGCAUUCCUUUUAAUACUAUAACUUGGGAUAGUUUUGCAUGUAUGGUCCAAGCAAUUGGGCAAUAUGGCCCAGGACUUAUUACUCCUUCAAUACAUGAGGUUAGGGAGCUCUUGUUGAAGGAUGUUGUAUUUGAUGUGAAUAAAAUUUUGAUUUCUCAGAGAAAUGCGUGGGAGAAAUAUGGGGCCACUAUUAUGUGUGAUAGUUGGUUCGAUGGGAAAUCAAGGGCAUUCAUUAAUUUUUUGGUUAAUUGCCCAACAGGUACUUUUUUUUUUAAGUCUAUUGAUGCAUCAGACAAGUCACAUGAUGGUAUCAUCAGACAAGUCACAUGAUGGUACAUACUUAUUUGGCUUGAUGGAUGAGAUUGUCGAUUUGUUGGGGAGCAAAAUAUGGUACAAAUUAUCACUGACAAUGGUGCCAACUAUGCUGCAGUUGGGAAUUUCUUGACUUUGAAAAGGAAGCAUACGUUUUGGACUCUUUGUGCAGCUCACUGUGUUAAUCUUAUGCUUAAGGAAAUAGGUAUAACAUCUUUAUUUAGUGGGGUGAUUUCAAGAGCUAUAUUUGUUGUUGGAUUUAUUUACAAUCACACCAUAGUCCUAAGCAUGAUGAGGUCUUUUACAAAGAAGAGAGAAUUAGUGAGACCGGGUAUGAUUAGAUUUGCCACGUCAUUUCUCACUCUUCGAAGCCUAGCCAAGCAAAUGCCUUGAGGACCAUGUUUGCUUCAGAGCAAUGGAGUCAAAGAAAAUGGUCAAAGCAUAAGGAUGGGAGAAAGGCUGAAAAAGUUAUUCUGAAUACAUCUUUUUGGAGUCAAAUAAUUAUUGCAUGGGAGGUGGCUUGCCUUUUAGUGAGAGUGCUUCGAUUGGUUGAUGGUGAUGCGAAGCCCGCCAUGGGCUACAUACAUGAGGCAAUGACUAGUGCAAGAACUGAAAUAAAAGAUAUUUUAAAGGAUCAUGAAAAUAUACGCAAGGCUAUACUUGAAAUUAUUGAUAGGAGAUGGGAUACCCAGCUUCACAGGCACCUUCAUUCAACCGGUUAUUUUAUAAACCCAUCUCUUCACUACAAGCACCCAUCCAUUGAGUCAUAUCGUGUAAUAAAUGGUGGGUUCUUAGAUGUGCUGGAGAGGUUGGUGCCAGACAAAGAUAUCCAGGAUGAGAUCUAGAGCCAUGAAUUGAUUAAGUUCAACUUAGCCUUGGGAAACUUUGGGAAAGAUAUUGCCACUCGAAAUAGGGACACUACAGAUCCAGGUAAAGGCCAAAAGGCCAAAAAUAAUCUUACUUGUCUCUUACUUUAUGUAUGGUUCCAUUGUUUAUUUUAUACCCUUAAUUUUUAACUAUAUUCUAAAUUAUAAAAUAUUAUACAGCUGCAUGGUGGGCAUUAUAUGGAAGCAAGACACCAAAUCUACAACAUCUCGCUAUUCGAGUGUUGAAUCUCACAUGUAGCUCAUCUGGUUGUGAGCCCAAUUUGAGUGCAUUUGAGCAUGUAAGUCAUUUACUCCUUAUUCCUUAAUCCUUAUUUCUUGAAUUUCAAUUUUCUAAUCUAAAAUCUAAUUUAUCUGAUUUCAAAUUUCUACCACAGCUCCAUACAAAAAAAAGAAAUAGGUUGGAGCAGAAAAAGUUGAAUGAUUUGGUUUAUGUACGGUAUAACGCGCGUCUUAGGGAGAGGUAUGAAAAUCGCACGAAGCUCAACCCUAUUCAAUUAUAUGAAGCUGAUGGUGAUUCUAUAAGUGAGUGGACCAUGGAUCCAAGACAAGAGCAUGUGUUUGAGGGUGAGGAUUGUACAUGGCUUGAUGUCGAGCUAGCAACAGAGGCUAAUGAAAAAGAUCGGCUUAACACUAGAGCACAAAGCAGUAGAGGAGUUGCUGGAUCUAGUCGCAGUCGCACAUUAGCUUCAGAGGUCGAGGAGGAAGCUGACUCAGAGGAGUCUGAUGAAGAAGGAUACAUGAAGGCCGUCGAGGAUGAUAUUGAUGAUGCACAUGACGACUCUCAAGAUGACUUGUCUGAAUGAUAUUUGAAAAAAUGAAGUUCAAAUUUCAAAAUUUACUCUCAAAAUGGAUGAUUGUAUUAAGUUAUUAUUUAUUAACUAUUGACUCUUCUUGAGCUUGACUUUUGAUUUGUAUUUUGUAAUAUCAUUAUUUUGUGCUUAUGGUUGUACUUAUGGUUGUUGAUGGUUGUGUUUAAUUAUAAUUGUACUUGUGGUGCAAAUUUGUGUUGAUGGUUGUUGAUUGUUGAAUGCUUUAUGAAGCUAGUUUCAAGUUUCUAGUUUCUAUCAGGGGAUAGUGGAUAACUGGAUACAAAAUCUCCGACAGCUAAUAGUUUUGAAGUUAAUCAUUAAACUAAAAUACCUACUAUCACAUAUAUCACCUUCAUAUUUUUUUCUAUGCAUUAACUUAUUUUUUUAGAUUUUUUAGAAUUUUUUUCCAUUUAUUGACCGCAUCAUCGCGAUGCACCCGCAUCCAGGCCGCAUCGAGCCCCAUCGCCGCAUCGGCCCCCCACCGCAUUAGGGUCGCAUCCCGCAUUUUAAAACAUUGGCAGGAACUAUGCUCUCACAGAAUAUUUAGCUGUUUCAAACCCAUCCUAAGAAAGCAGGGCACCUAGUCAUUUUCUAAAACUACAAGUGGGAACCAAGAGUUUUUCGAUAAUAUAAAGCAGCAAAUUGGAAUUCAAACUUAUUUUCACGAAGAAAGGGUAAUAAAUUACGAUGAAGAUGGAGGAUUGGGGUAAGUUUUUGUUUCCAUGCUUUCCCUAUGAAAUGAAGAUGAGCUGCAGUUAAUAUUUAGUGUUUAAAUUGAAUGGAUGCUUUGUAUGCUUCAAUAUUCUAAUAGACUAACCAUUGUUCAAAAAAACGGACCGCCUAGGGCAUCGCCAGAAGGCCUGGGCGCAUUGCCCAGGCCUAGGCGGCCAAACUGGGUGGUGGUCCCUGGGUGGCCACCUAGGUGGUACGGAACCCGCAACGGCCGCCUAGCGCUCAGCCCUGAGUGGCCGCUCAGGGCAUGCGCCCCGCCUAGAGGUGGAAAUGUUUUUUUUUGUUUUUUGUUUUGAUUUUUUUAAAAGAUAUAAAAGGUUUGAAGGAGUGGAUUUAGGUUCAUUUGAAACCUAAAUUCACAAGAACCCGUUUUAGAGAGAAAAAAACCUCCAGAAAACUACAUUUCAUUGGAUUGAAGUGUCUCAAAGUUUAGAGUUCGAGCAAUCAAAGUAAGUGCAAAAUUUUAUUUUGUAGAUUAAUUGUUUUAUUUUGAGAUGUCUUCUUCUAGAGUUAGUCGCAGUGGAGAUCCGGGUUGGAAAUAUGGAUACAAUUCGAAUCUAAACGACAAAAAUUGUUUUAGAUGCAAUUUUUGUGAAAAAGAUACAAAAUGAGGCAUAAACCGGUUUAAGGAACAUUUGGCCAGUAUUAAGGGGGUUGCUAGCCGUUGUAAAAAUGUUUUUGAAGCUAUCAGAGAGGAGAUUGAGCAAUAUAUGAGUUAUGGAAAACAAAAACAAGAACAAAAUCCUUGUCAUCGAUUUAUUUUUGCUACUUCUAGAAGAAGUGAUCCGGAUUGGAAGUAUGGGUACAACCCAAAACCAAAUGAUGAAAAUUGUAUAAGGUGUAAUUUUUGUGAAAAAGAUAUCAAUAGGGGUAUUAGCCGAUUCAAACAACACCUUGUUGGUGUUAGAGGUAAUGUUGCUUCUUGUACAAAGGUUCGUGAAGCAGUUCAGGAUGAGAUUAGACAUCUUUUGAAUUUAGAAGACCAGAAAAGGUUGAAAAUAAGCAUUGUUCCAUGGAAGUAUCUUCUCUAGGUUCUAGUCGGAGUGGUGAUCCGGGAAAGUAUGGUUAUAACCUGAAUCCAAGUGAUAAAAAUCGUAUUAAAUAUAAUUAUUGUGGAAAUGAUACUAAUGGGGGCAUUUACCUGUUUAAAAAACAUCAUGCCGGUAUUAAGGGGAUAAAAAUGUUCCUGAGGCUACCAGAGAAGAAAUUAUACAAUAUUUGAGUUCAGAUAAGUACAAAGAAAAGGGUAGAGUAGCCAAGACUGCUAAGGCCUCAUCUGCACAGGCUGCAUAUACUAGUAAGAGGAAGGUAGAAGAAGAUGAGGAGUAAAAGGCAGAUUCAGAAGAAACAGAGGAAGACGAGCGUUUAAGAGGGAGAUGACUCUGAUGAUGAUGGCCUCGACUCUAAUGCAUAUGAUUAGACUGUAUAUUUUCUAAAUUUAUGUAUAUUUCUGUUGUAUAGAGUGUUGACUUUUAUAUCCUACACUUUUAUGGUUUUACAAUUUACUGUUUUAACAAUAAGGAUUAUCAAAAUUCUCUUCUCGACCUCUAUCUUUUUUUUUUCAACUUGGAAUAUGGUAUUCGGUAAUUUGGUAUUUGUUUUCAACUGGCCACCUAGGCACUGGGCGGGCUGGAUCCCCAGGCCGCCUAGGACCCACCUAGCGUUUUUUGAUAUGCUGGCACUAACCAUGGUAUUGUUGGACCAAACCAUGUGAAGUUAUGAACAUUUGUUGCCAUGGGAUGUGUAGGGUUAUAUGCAUGCUCAUGAGUGUGGCUUGCUGCUGGACGUCAAUAAGUGUUAGAAGGCUUAUCAUCUUAAACAAGGGAGUCGAAAGUGAAAAUAGUCAAGUCUUUUGGAAGAAGAAGAAACAUAAAACUAGGAGAUGCAGGAAGCUUUUCUCAGUAAUGCAUAUUUACCUUAGGAUAUAUUCUCUUUUUAUAAUUCUUUUCUGGCAUGGAAUGAGAAAUGGAGCAUCAACAUGUGAACUUGUGCAAAUAUAGGGCUCCUGGUAUUAAGAGGAUAUGUUAUUUUCUGAGAUGGGAAAUGGAACCUUUAUUCUUCCUUGUUUUUUAUCCAAAUCAGAUGUAAUUGUCAUUCAGAAUUGGGUUGGUUUGGAAACGUAAGGGUGGUGUCUAUCAAUUUCAGAGUAGUAUUUGUUAUGUUUCUAGACUGACAGCAUAUCUGUGAACUUUUAGGGAUUGUACCUUUUAUAAUUGACACGCCUCUGCCAUUUAGUGGUUUUUUAUUUUUUUUAUUAUUUUAUUAUUUUUUGUUAAUAAAGAUACUUGACUAUAAGGAAUGUUUCUUCAUGGAGAAAAAGGACUACGAACUAUGGUUUCAUAUAGCUGUGACUUAUUCCUAGAUGCAUCUGAUUCCCAGUGAGCCAACUCAUCUACCACUAUAUUUAUCUUCUGAAAAAUGUAUUUAACAAGUUAUUGAGAACUGGUCUUGGUUCUAUUAGUUCUUUUUAGUUCUUUUAAAACUAUUGAUGGCUUUCCAAAUUUUCAAGAUCACAAUGGCAGUACCGAACUUUUUAAAACUGAUGGCUCAUCUGCACUUACUCCUAUCUUACCUCUGUUUUCUUGGUUACUUAAAAAAUGUUCUCCUUUGUUUUUUUUUUUUUAAUAGACACAUCAUUAAUUGGGAUGGGUAACUGUUGUGACCUAUAAUCCCUUUGCCAGAGCCCUACAUGCCCACAAUUUAGCGAUUUUGUUAUUGUAUAUCUGUUCCAAGAUGGUGCUAAAUAUUCAAUAAAUACAUAUUGAACAAUGAGUCUGUACUUAAACAAAUUAACCCAUGUAUUCCAUAUGAUCUAGAGAUUGCCUUCUAAGCCAACAAAUCACAUUUAGUUAAUCACUUUAGAUAAUAUCAAUUCUCAAAGUUCUAUUUAGGUUUCUCAAUCCAUACGAGACAAUGUUCUACCAAAGAGCCCUCAAUACCAAAAAUAUUGCAUGGAUCUUGUAAUUGUCUCCUUGUUUGUUUCAUGUGAUAUCCCAAAAACAUGCAACUCUAGUGCUUCUCUUUGCAAUUCCAACAAAAAUUCAGCUUGAUCAUUUCAUUAUUUUCACCGUGGUUGGUGGUAAAUUCAAUCUCUCUUGAGGCUUGGUCUCAAACCUUGAAGAUCUGCGACAGUUUUUGGGUCAAGGGUUUAACUAGUUCUUCAUGAGCUUUGGUCCUUUGAUUUUUCAUUCAUUCUUUUUUUUUUUGGGUCAAGGUUUGACUAGUUCUUCACGAAGUCUUGAUCCAGCUUGGAUUUUUUUCACCAUUUUGAUUCUUCCAAAGAUUCCAUAUUGUCACUAAGAAAGUGCAGCACAACUGUUUUUGCCCUCGCUUAUUCUAUCACAUUCAUCUCCAUCGAUGCGACUUAAUGGAAAUGCAUGUAAGAGUUGUAAUUAAAAAAAAAACUAGACUGACAAUUUUUUAUCAAAUUGUGCAGCUGUGCAUGCUAACAACAACGUGAGACUCCCACCUCUUCUUCCUCUAUGUUAUUAAAGGCUAGGAUUCCUGGGGUCAGGGUUUUGCCAUCUUUGUGAGACUUAAUCUUGACCUUUGAUCUUGGAGAUAUGUGGGGUGAAGAGAUCUCAUCAUAUCCCUCUGUUUCCAUAACUCUAUUCCCAUCAAAUAUUGUGUAGAGAAAGUAAUAAAUCAAUCACAAUUAAUUUCUUUAUAUCUUCUUAUUUUGAAAUCAAUCACAAUUAAUUUCUUACACCUCCCUAUUUUGAAAUCCAUCAAACUCUCUACACAAAAGGUUUCCUAAAAUAUCAAGUCAACAUAUUGCAUAAUUGUUGUCUUUCAAUUUAGGAAAGUUUGGAGGAGGUGGGGCGCACCACCCAUAGGGUGGCCAUGUGGGUCCUACGUCCCAUAAUAUGGUGGGCCCAAUGUACCCCAAUAGGCCCCAAAUAUUUUAAGCAUAAUUUUAAAUAAUAAAAUAAUUUUAUAAAAUCUCAAAAUAUUUAUUUCUCUCUCUAAUUAAAAUGAAUCCAUAAAAUUGAUUUUUCUUAGUUAAAAAUCAUUUCUCAAUAAAAUAAAAUACCUAGAGAGGUCUAAAAAUUUAUUUUAAUUAUCUAAAAAAUAAUUAACAUAUCUAAGAAGAUUUGAUGUGAAGGAUCCAUAGAGUUAGGAUUACGACAAAUAUACUGAGGAGUCAUCCUCUCUAGAGAUUGUAUCUCACUGCACCUUCUCAAACUAACCCAAUAGUUGUCAUGACUCACAACCUCUCACAUGGGUUCAUGAUUGGACUAUCAAAUUCGGCCAACAAAGUGAUUCUGGCUUCCAAGCGUGGCUUUCCUUGGGCCUAUUGUUUCCAAAGAUGGGAUAGCAGUUGAUCCUUGCAAGAUUGAGGUUGUGCUUAAAUGGGAGAGACCAAUGAAUGUAUCUGAAGUUUGCAGAUUCCUAGGACUGGCGGGAUAUUACAAGUGUUUCGUAGAGGGAUUCUUGAAGAUAACACUUCCCCUAACCCGCCUAACCCAAAAGGAAAUCAAGUUUGCGUGGUUUGAUAACUGCAAGAGAAGUUUUCAAGAUAUCCCGCUAGGCUUGCAGGACCUCACCUUGUUUCACAGCUGCUCAAGUGAUUUUGAAACUUUUGGUUCAUGAAAUAAUGUAACAAAUUUUACGGUGAUGAUGGAGGAUUGGGGUAAGUUCUCGUCUCCUUGCGUUCCCUGUGAAAUGAAGAUGAGCUGCAGUUAAUAUUUAGUGUUUAAACUGAAUGGAUACCUUGUAUGCUUCAAUAUUCUAAUGCACUAACCCUGGUAUUGCUGGACCAAACCAUGUGAAGUUAUGAACAUUUGUUGCCGUGGGAUGUGUAGGGUUAUAUGCAUGCUCAUGAGUGUGGCUUGCUGCUGGACAUCAAUAUGUGUUAGAAGGCUUAUCAUCUUAAACAAGGGAGUCUAAAGUGAAUAUAGUUAAGUCUUUUGGAAGAAGAUGAAACAUAAAACUAGGAGAUGCAUGAAGCUUUUCUCAGUAAUGAGUAUUUACCUUAGGAUAUAUUCUCUUUUAAUAAUUCUUUUCUGGCAUGCAAUGAGAAAUGGAGCAUCAACAUGUGAACUAGUGCAAAUAUAAGGCUCACUGUUAUUAAGAGGAUAUGUUAUUUUCUGAGAUGGGAUUCUUCCUUGUUUUUUAUCUAAAUCAAAUGCAAUCGUCAUUCAUAAUUUGGUUGGUUUGGAAACAUAAGGGUGGUUUCUAUCAAUUUCAUGGUAGUAUAUGUUAAGUUUCUAGUCUGGCAACAUAUCUGUGAACUUUUAGGAAUUGUACCUUUUAUAAUUGACAAGCCUCUGCCAUUUAGUGGUUUUUUUUUAUUUUUUUUAUUUUUUGUUAAUUAAGAUAGUUGACUAUAAGGAAUGUUUCUUCAUGGAGAAAAAAAGACUACGAACGAUUGUUUCAUAUAGCUGUGACUUAUUCCUAGAUGCAUCCGAUUCUGAGUUGGCCAACUCAUCUGCCACUGUAUUUACCUUCUAAAAAAUGUAUUUAACAAGUUAUGGAGAACUGGUCUUGGUUUUGUUAGUUCUUUUGAAACUAUUGAUGGCUUUCCAAAUUUUCUAGAUGAUAGUGGCAGUAUCGAACUUUAUAAAACUGAUGGCUCAUUUGCAGUUACUCCUAUCUACCAUUGUUUUCUUGGUUUUUAAAUACUUAAAAAAAGUUCUUGGUUUUUUUUUGUUUUAAUAGACGCAUCAUUAAAAGGGAUGGGUAACUGUGGUUACCUAUAAUCCCUUUGCCGGAGCCCUACAUGCCC
RNAcentral lists this long non-coding RNA (36276 nucleotides) under Amborella trichopoda. RNAcentral describes it as "long non-coding RNA (ATRI_LNC004625)". The record is from RNAcentral. Lineage: Eukaryota; Viridiplantae; Streptophyta; Magnoliopsida; Amborellales; Amborellaceae.